This 447-nucleotide long non-coding RNA is filed under the name Homo sapiens (human). RNAcentral's name for it is "HSALNT0074452". Lineage: Eukaryota; Metazoa; Chordata; Mammalia; Primates; Hominidae. The record is from RNAcentral.
UCAGAUGCAAAGGAAUUGCUAAAGACUCAGUAGUUGAGGGCUAUAUUUUGAGCCAGGACCAAAGCAAAGAACUACUUUCAUUUAUAAUAAGGGCCCAGAUGCAGGAAGUAGACAUCUCAGACAGUGUGGUGUGAGAGCAGUGUGGGAUGGCAAAAAGAGGAUCCAGGCCAUCCUGGAAAUAGUCCUUUGGCCACAGAAGUUAAUUGUUACCAUCAGUGCCUUAGAAAGUAAGAAGUAGUGACUGACAUCAGGACUCCAAAACUGGAGUGGUCUUUGUGGCUCAGGCUCUGAUUUGGACCUGAAGAUUCUGCUACCUAUUCUGAAUAGUAAGUGAGCUUAACUUGGCUCUAGAAUAUUAUUGCAUCUGCCUUGAUUAAUUCUUUCCUGCAAGAUACUUGGCAGUGUGCCAAUGGUGGAGACAACCAGUUUUCUACCAAAUAGUCCAUU